This 304-nucleotide ribosomal RNA is filed under the name uncultured bacterium. Its description in RNAcentral is "bacterial SSU rRNA". It matches the Rfam family "Bacterial small subunit ribosomal RNA", at positions 527 to 830 of the family's 1533-position model. The record is from RNAcentral.
GUAGGUGGCGAGCGUUGUCCGGAUUUACUGGGUGUAAAGGGCGUGCAGCCGGGCAUGCAAGUCAGAUGUGAAAUCUCAGGGCUUAACCCUGAAACUGCAUUUGAAACUGUAUGUCUUGAGUGCCGGAGAGGUAAUCGGAAUUCCUUGUGUAGCGGUGAAAUGCGUAGAUAUAAGGAAGAACACCAGUGGCGAAGGCGGAUUACUGGACGGUAACUGACGGUGAGGCGCGAAAGCGUGGGGAGCGAACAGGAUUAGAUACCCUGGUAGUCCACGCUGUAAACGAUGGAUACUAGGNGUGCGGGGA